UUUCUUUUCUUGAUGCAGAUAAA
This 23-nucleotide small nuclear RNA is filed under the name Arabidopsis thaliana (thale cress). Its description in RNAcentral is "snRNA_17591". The record is from RNAcentral. Lineage: Eukaryota; Viridiplantae; Streptophyta; Magnoliopsida; Brassicales; Brassicaceae.